GAGUUUGAUCCUGGCUCAGGACGAACGCUGGCGGCGUGCUUAACACAUGCAAGUCGAACGAUGAAGCCAGCUUGCUGGUGGAUUAGUGGCGAACGGGUGAGUAACACGUGGGUGAUCUGCCCCAAACUUUGGGAUAAGCCUGGGAAACUGGGUCUAAUACCGAAUAUGACUGAUACUCGCAUGGGUGUUGGUGGAAAGCUCCGGCGGUUUGGGAUGGGCCCGCGGCCUAUCAGCUUGUUGGUGGGGUAAUGGCCUACCAAGGCGACGACGGGUAGCCGGCCUGAGAGGGCGACCGGCCACACUGGGACUGAGACACGGCCCAGACUCCUACGGGAGGCAGCAGUGGGGAAUAUUGCACAAUGGGCGCAAGCCUGAUGCAGCGACGCCGCGUGAGGGAUGACGGCCUUCGGGUUGUAAACCUCUUUCACCAGGGGCGAAGCGAAAGUGACGGUACCUGGAGAAGAAGCACCGGCCAACUACGUGCCAGCAGCCGCGGUAAUACGUAGGGUGCGAGCGUUGUCCGGAAUUACUGGGCGUAAAGAGCUCGUAGGCGGUUUGUCCCGUCGUUCGUGAAAACUUGGGGCUUAACUUCAAGCGUGCGGGCGAUACGGGCAGACUUGAGUACUACAGGGGAGACUGGAAUUCCUGGUGUAGCGGUGAAAUGCGCAGAUAUCAGGAGGAACACCGGUGGCGAAGGCGGGUCUCUGGGUAGUAACUGACGCUGAGGAGCGAAAGCGUGGGUAGCGAACAGGAUUAGAUACCCUGGUAGUCCACGCCGUAAACGGUGGGUACUAGGUGUGGGUUCCUUCCACGGGAUCCGUGCCGUAGCUAACGCAUUAAGUACCCCGCCUGGGGAGUACGGCCGCAAGGCUAAAACUCAAAGGAAUUGACGG
RNAcentral lists this ribosomal RNA (893 nucleotides) under uncultured Williamsia sp. Its description in RNAcentral is "bacterial SSU rRNA". It matches the Rfam family "Bacterial small subunit ribosomal RNA", at positions 9 to 916 of the family's 1533-position model. Lineage: Bacteria; Bacillati; Actinomycetota; Actinomycetes; Mycobacteriales; Nocardiaceae. The record is from RNAcentral.